Long non-coding RNA from Rhipicephalus microplus (southern cattle tick), 179 nucleotides. NCBI's taxonomy places the organism in Eukaryota, Metazoa, Arthropoda, Arachnida, Ixodida, Ixodidae. The record is from RefSeq and is a predicted model, not a curated record.
AUGACCAUGACCGAGACUGAGAAGGAAGCAACACUCAAGGACACAAGACUGUCAGAGGGCACCCUUGAGGUUCCAGGUAUAGCUUCGGCCACUGGACUCCCCAGUCCACGAAUCAUGAGGCGGUGAUGCGCACUGCUUCUCUUUCAAUAAAAAAAAGAACAUAUUAGGGGCUCUUGAAA